AUGGCGAGCAGCAGCACGGCCAAGCCCAUGGAAGCCCUCCCUUCCGGUUCCGGGAGCAUCCUCUCCAAUGUGGUCACCGUCCUGCUGCUCCUCUCCUUGGGCUUCGUCUUCGGCAUGGUGUACAACGCCAACUUCCAGGAAUCCUACCUCACGCCCUUCCUGCAGCCGCUGCCUUCUCUCCUACGGCCAUCGCCGACUCCGGUGGUAGCGUCCGGCUGCUGGGGACGGCGCUGCUGGACCUCGGUAACGCGCGGUUCGCUCUGCUAUCGGAGACGUGCAUCCCUCUCCUCUCCUUCCCGGCCGCCUACGCCUUCCUCAUCGGCGCCAACGCCAGCUUCAUUGACAGCUUCCCCACCCGCGCGCGGCACGCGCCCUUUUUCCUCCGCCGCAACAUAA
Molecule: ribosomal RNA, 396 nt
Filed under: Triticum aestivum (bread wheat)
Lineage: Eukaryota; Viridiplantae; Streptophyta; Magnoliopsida; Poales; Poaceae
Description: partial small subunit ribosomal RNA
Source: RNAcentral